GAUGAACGCUGGCGGAGUGCCUAAUACAUGCAAGUCGAGCGGCAGCACGAGUAGUUUACUACUUGGUGGCGAGCGGCGGACGGCUGAGUAACGCGUGGGAACGUGCCCCAAAGUGAGGAAUAACUGCCCGAAAGGGUAGCUAAUGCCGCAUAUGAUCUUCGGAUUAAAGUAUUUAUUACGCUUUGGGAGCGGCCCGCGUCCGAUUAGAUAGUUGGUGAGGUAAAGGCUCACCAAGUCGACGAUCGGUAACUGGUCUGAGAGGAUGAUCAGUCAGACUGGAACUGAGACACGGUCCAGACUCCUACGGGAGGCAGCAGUAAGGAAUCUUCCACAAUGGACGAAAGUCUGAUGGAGCAACUCCGCGUGCAGGAUGAAGGCCCUCGGGUCGUAAACUGCUUUUAUGAGUGAAGAAUAUGACGGUAACUCAUGAAUAAGGGUCGGCUAACUACGUGCCAGCAGCCGCCGUAACAC
This 471-nucleotide ribosomal RNA is filed under the name uncultured bacterium. Its description in RNAcentral is "bacterial SSU rRNA". It matches the Rfam family "Bacterial small subunit ribosomal RNA", at positions 28 to 526 of the family's 1533-position model. The record is from RNAcentral.